CACAGGCGCGAAAACUCUGCAAUAGGCGAAAGCUUGACAGGGUUACUCUGAGUGAUGCCCGCUAAGGGCAUCUUUUGGCACCUCUAAAAAUGGUGCAGAAUAAGGGGUGGGCAAGUCUGGUGUCAGCCGCCGCGGUAAUACCAGCACCCCGAGUGGUCGGGACGAUUAUUGGGCCUAAAGCAUCCGUAGCUUGU
This 194-nucleotide ribosomal RNA is filed under the name uncultured bacterium. RNAcentral describes it as "partial 16S ribosomal RNA". It matches the Rfam family "Archaeal small subunit ribosomal RNA", at positions 334 to 529 of the family's 1478-position model. The record is from RNAcentral.